This 253-nucleotide ribosomal RNA is filed under the name uncultured bacterium. RNAcentral describes it as "partial 16S ribosomal RNA". It matches the Rfam family "Bacterial small subunit ribosomal RNA", at positions 524 to 776 of the family's 1533-position model. The record is from RNAcentral.
UACGUAGGGUGCGAGCGUUAAUCGGAAUUACUGGGCGUAAAGUGUGCGCAGGCGGCCGAGCAAGUCGAGUGUGAAAGCCCCGAGCUUAACUUGGGAACUGCGCUCGAAACUACUUGGCUAGAGUGUGGCAGAGGGAGGUGGAAUUCCACGUGUAGCGGUGAAAUGCGUAGAUAUCAGGAGGAACACCGAUGGCGAAGGCAGGUCUCUGGGCUGAAACUGACGCUCAUGCACGAAAGCGUGGGGAGCAAACAGG